Molecule: ribosomal RNA, 834 nt
Filed under: archaeon enrichment culture
Lineage: Archaea
Description: bacterial SSU rRNA
Rfam family: Archaeal small subunit ribosomal RNA
Source: RNAcentral
GCGGCCACUGCUAUCAAGUUCCGACUAAGCCAUGCGAGUCAAGGUAUCGUAAGAUGCCGGCAAACUGCUCAGUAACACGUGGAUAAUCUAACCUUGAGUAAGGGAUAACUUCGGGAAACUGAAGGUAAUACCUUAUAAUUGCUUAAAACUGGAAUGUUUUUGCAAUAAAAGUUACGACGCUCAAGGAUGAGUCUGCGACCUAUCAGGUAGUAGGUGGUGUAAUGGACCACCUAGCCUCAGACGGGUACGGGCCCUGGGAGGGGUAGCCCGGAGAUGGACUCUGAGACAUAAGUCCAGGCCCUACGGGGCGCAGCAGGCGCGAACACUGUGCAAUGCGCGAAAGCGCGACACGGGGAGCUUGAGUGUCUUGGCAUAGCCAAGACUUUUCUCAUUCCUAAAAAGCAUGAGGAAUAAGUGCUGGGUAAGACGGGUGCCAGCCGCCGCGGUAACACCCGCAGCACGAGUAGUGGUCACUUUUAUUGAGCCUAAAGCGUUCGUAGCCGGUUUUGUAAAUCUUCAGAUAAAGCCUGAAGCUUAACUCCAGAAAGUCUGAAGAGACUGCAAGACUUGAGAUCGGGUGAGGUUAAACGUACUUUCAGGGUAGGGGUAAAAUCCUGUAAUCCCGGAAGGACGACCAGUGGCGAAAGCGUUUAACUAGAACGAAUCUGACGGUAAGGAACGAAGGCUAGGGUAGCAAACCGGAUUAGAUACCCGGGUAGUCCUAGCUGUAAACAUUGCCCAUUUGAUGUUGCCUUUCCGUUGAGGGAAGGCAGUGUCGGAGCGAAGGUGUUAAAUGGGCCGCUUGGGAAGUAUGGUCGCAAGACUGAAACUUAA